GGUGGGGUGCCGGAGCGGUCAAACGGAGCAGACUGUAAAUCUGCCGGCCUUCGCGCCUACGGAGGUUCGAAUCCUCCCCCCACCA
This 85-nucleotide transfer RNA is filed under the name Pseudomonadota bacterium. RNAcentral's name for it is "tRNA-Tyr". It matches the Rfam family "tRNA". Rfam says of the family: Transfer RNA (tRNA) molecules are approximately 80 nucleotides in length. Lineage: Bacteria; Pseudomonadati; Pseudomonadota. RNAcentral also lists the same sequence under 1 other name. The record is from RNAcentral.